This 736-nucleotide ribosomal RNA is filed under the name uncultured Atopobium sp. Its description in RNAcentral is "bacterial SSU rRNA". It matches the Rfam family "Bacterial small subunit ribosomal RNA", at positions 28 to 776 of the family's 1533-position model. Lineage: Bacteria; Bacillati; Actinomycetota; Coriobacteriia; Coriobacteriales; Atopobiaceae. The record is from RNAcentral.
GAUGAACGCUGGCGGCGCGCCUAACACAUGCAAGUCGAACGGUUAAAGCACCUUUUAGGUGUGUAUAAAGUGGCGAACGGCUGAGUAACACGUGGGCAACCUGCCCUCCUCUUGGGGAUAGCCUCGGGAAACCGAGGAUAAUACCCGAUACUUCAAUGUGGCCGCAUGACGACAUUGAGAAAGCUUUUGCGGAGAAGGAUGGGCCCGCGGCCUGUUAGCUUGUUGGUGGGGUAGAGGCCUACCAAGGCAAUGAUGGGUAGCUGGGUUGAGAGACCGACCAGCCAGAUUGGGACUGAGACACGGCCCAGACUCCUACGGGAGGCAGCAGUGGGGAAUCUUGCACAAUGGGCGAAAGCCUGAUGCAGCGACGCCGCGUGCGGGACGAAGGCCUUCGGGUUGUAAACCGCUUUCAGCAGGGACGAGGCGAAAGUGACGGUACCUGCAGAGGAAGCCCCGGCUAACUACGUGCCAGCAGCCGCGGUAAUACGUAGGGGGCAAGCGUUAUCCGGAUUCAUUGGGCGUAAAGCGCUCGUAGGCGGUCUGUUAGGUCGGGAGUUAAAUCCGGAGGCUCAACCUCCGCCCGCUCCCGAUACCGGCAGACUUGAGUUUGGUAGGGGAAGGUGGAAUUCCUAGUGUAGCGGUGGAAUGCGCAGAUAUUAGGAAGAACACCAGUGGCGAAGGCGGCCUUCUGGGCCAUAACUGACGCUGAGGAGCGAAAGCUAGGGGAGCAAACAGG